Molecule: non-coding RNA, 148 nt
Organism: Homo sapiens (human)
Lineage: Eukaryota; Metazoa; Chordata; Mammalia; Primates; Hominidae
Rfam family: Metazoan signal recognition particle RNA
About the family: The signal recognition particle (SRP) is a universally conserved ribonucleoprotein. It is involved in the co-translational targeting of proteins to membranes. The eukaryotic SRP consists of a 300-nucleotide 7S RNA and six proteins: SRPs 72, 68, 54, 19, 14, and 9.
Source: Rfam
GCUGGGUGUGGUGGUGUGCACUUGUAGUCCCAGCUACUCAGGAGGCCGGGGUGAGAGGAUUGCUUGAGCCCAGGAGUUUGAGGCUGCACUGAGCUAUGAUUGUGCCAGUGAACUCUAGCCUGGGCAACAGAGUAAGACCCUGUCUCUU